Molecule: ribosomal RNA, 531 nt
Filed under: uncultured bacterium
Lineage: Bacteria
Description: bacterial SSU rRNA
Rfam family: Bacterial small subunit ribosomal RNA
Source: RNAcentral
UGGGGAAUAUUGCACAAUGGGCGGAAGCCUGAUGCAGCAACGCCGCGUGCGGGAUGACGGCCUUCAGGUUGUAAACCGCUUUCGCCUGUGACGAAGCGUGAGUGACGGUAAUGGGUAAAGAAGCACCGGCUAACUACGUGCCAGCAGCCGCGGUGAUACGUAGGGUGCGAGCGUUGUCCGGAUUUAUUGGGCGUAAAGGGCUCGUAGGUGGUUGAUCGCGUCGGAAGUGUAAUCUUGGGGCUUAACCCUGAGCGUGCUUUCGAUACGGGUUGACUUGAGGAAGGUAGGGGAGAAUGGAAUUCCUGGUGGAGCGGUGGAAUGCGCAGAUAUCAGGAGGAACACCAGUGGCGAAGGCGGUUCUCUGGGCCUUUCCUGACGCUGAGGAGCGAAAGCGUGGGGAGCGAACAGGCUUAGAUACCCUGGUAGUCCACGCUGUAAACGGUGGGUACUAGGUGUGGGGUCCAUUCCACGGGUUCCGUGUCGUAGCUAACGCUUUAAGUACCCCGCCUGGGGAGUACGGCCGCAAGGCUA